RNAcentral lists this long non-coding RNA (273 nucleotides) under Malus domestica (apple). Its description in RNAcentral is "long non-coding RNA (MDOM_LNC012324)". Lineage: Eukaryota; Viridiplantae; Streptophyta; Magnoliopsida; Rosales; Rosaceae. The record is from RNAcentral.
AGUAAAUUGUAGCUAUGGUCCCUUAACUUUAACUCAAUUGGAGCAAUGGUCCCUCAACUAAAAAUCCAUUACCAUUGGUCCCUCAACUCAUCAAAACGUGCAGCUAUGGUCCCUCAACUAAAAAUCCAUUACCAUUGGUCUCUCAACUCAUCAAAACGUGUAGCUAUGGUCCCUCAACUGUAAUUCAACUGGAGAAAUGGUCCCUUAACUUUAACCCAAUUGUAGCAAUGGUCAUUCCAACAUAACUCGUUUUGACAAAACUUUUGACGUAGU